AUGAGAAUGAUUGAUUGAUGUG
Molecule: microRNA, 22 nt
Filed under: Oreochromis niloticus (Nile tilapia)
Lineage: Eukaryota; Metazoa; Chordata; Actinopteri; Cichliformes; Cichlidae
Description: oni-miR-10847
Source: miRBase by way of RNAcentral